AGAUUGAACGCUGGCGGCAGGCCUAACACAUGCAAGUCGAGCGGCAGCACGGGUACUUGUACCUGGUGGCGAGCGGCGGACGGGUGAGUAAUGCCUAGGAAUCUGCCUGGUAGUGGGGGAUAACGCUCGGAAACGGACGCUAAUACCGCAUACGUCCUACGGGAGAAAGCAGGGGACCUUCGGGCCUUGCGCUAUCAGAUGAGCCUAGGUCGGAUUAGCUAGUUGGUGAGGUAAUGGCUCACCAAGGCGACGAUCCGUAACUGGUCUGAGAGGAUGAUCAGUCACACUGGAACUGAGACACGGUCCAGACUCCUACGGGAGCAGCGAGUGGGGAAUAUUGGACAAGUGGGACGAAAGCCUG
This 361-nucleotide ribosomal RNA is filed under the name uncultured soil bacterium. RNAcentral's name for it is "bacterial SSU rRNA". It matches the Rfam family "Bacterial small subunit ribosomal RNA", at positions 26 to 385 of the family's 1533-position model. The record is from RNAcentral.